Molecule: long non-coding RNA, 1415 nt
Filed under: Felis catus (domestic cat)
Lineage: Eukaryota; Metazoa; Chordata; Mammalia; Carnivora; Felidae
Description: lncRNA (ENSFCAG00000043803.2)
Source: RNAcentral
UGAUGAUAAACUUCAAUGGUAAACAGAAGGGUUCUUCACUUCAGUGGGAAUUCUGCAUGUAUGAAGAGACGGGGUCCAGUCAAAUCAGCCCAUUUCGUAUCAAAUAAGUAAAUAAAUUAGCAUGAGAGUGUCCGCAAUGCCAAGUCAGCGCCAUGUGACAUAGGUCUAAGAGAAUGUGGACACUGGAGACCUUACUCGCACGGUUACCAAAUUACCAUAGGAUGUUACGUCCUUGGUUUCUUAAAUUUCCUGGUCGAGGAUACCCGGAGCUGGUUUGAUCCUCCUCUAAAGAGGCUGGAUCUUUCCGCAGAUGUAUACACACACAUGUUCUUUAAGAAGCUGACUUUUUUUUUUUUUUUCAUAUGGAGAUGUAGUGAAAAUAAGGCCCAUUAAUUAGAGCAAGUAAUUUAUGGAAUUAAAAAAAAUUUUUUUUAAUGUUUUUAUUUAUUUUUGAAGGAGAGAGAGACAGAGCAUGAGCAGGGGAGGAGCAAAGAGAGAGGGAGACACAGAAUCCGACGCAGGCUGCAGGCUCCGAGCUGUCAGCACAGAGCCCGACGCGGGGCUCGAACUCACGGACCAUGAGAUCGUGACUGGAGCCGAAGUCCGACGCUUAACCGACUGAGCCACCCAGGCGCCCCUGGAAUUUUUAAUAUUUGUCAUUUCUUCAUUGGUUCAGAUGGGCCUAGUCAACAAUUUGCAUGAAGUAAACAAAAUGAGAAAAACCAAAACAACAAUUUUCUGCGCGUGUGUGAGAGAGAAGGGCAUAGACUGAUGCCGUGAGAGAGAGGUUAUUUCAUAGGAAGCAUUAUGUUUUGGCAGAAGAAAUCCAUCAAACAAAUGACCACCUGGAAAGGCCACAGGGAGCCAUCUGGGCUCCAUGAGAAAGCUGACUUGGCGACUGAUGGAAGGACAAGCAGAGAAAGAGAGCCAUGGUCUUUUUGGGUCGUCUUAAACAAGUCCCAGGGCGUAGAGGAGAGAAAUAAUACUGAAAAAAAUCUUUCCCCAGAGGACACAGCUUUGUACUCCAUACAUACCGUAAAGGUGACGCAGCAAAGAAUGCAAGGGCUUCAUAGCUCCAGACAACUCACAUUAAGGAACAAAGGACAACACCGGAGACCUUGAAGGAGAAGGAAAAAAAAAAGAGAGAGAAAGAAGAAGAUUGUAUAAAGUAUACAAGCAUUUUCAAUAGCUUAUAAUGUCAUCUGAACAUUUUUCUCUAACUGUAAGUGGGAACAUCAAAAGAAAAACAACCAAGCAGACCCCCUGUCACUGCGAAGUGGUGUCAAACCUCACUCGGCUGGGACAAUGACUUGAGGCUGUUAAUGGCCACCACUGAAUGCAGUCAGGCCUGGUCUCCCGGGCAAGACGAGGCCCAGCAAAGGCUUUGUCUAAAUAAAUGUGUUACACACAGAACA